Molecule: long non-coding RNA, 765 nt
Filed under: Homo sapiens (human)
Lineage: Eukaryota; Metazoa; Chordata; Mammalia; Primates; Hominidae
Description: HSALNT0321126
Source: RNAcentral
UGUCAAUCAACAGCUAAGGGAAUGAAACACUUUGCACUUGAUGAGAAUCAACAUGGUUUUCCUGAAGAUAUUUCAACCCAUGUUGGACAUUCGAGAUCUGAUCCAAAAUAAAGAGGUUCAUCCCCCUUGGACUUCAGCCUUGCCCUGCAUACAUCUUUUCUAUCUCAUUGGAAAAACUUGUUAUUUGUUGAGAGACAUGUGAAUUUGCAGCUUUAGAUGUUCUAUUCAGGCAGCAUUUAAGUUUGGAGGGUCAACAGAUCAGACUUGGAGUCCUGAUAUGUGUCAGAAAUUGGGGAAGAUUACUGCCUGAGACAGCACAGGGCAGCGACAGUGAGAGAUGAAGGCAACAUCAGUGUGCGCCAGAGUUUUGCAACUCCACACGCAGUCCAUCAUGGACCAACAACUGCAGCAUCACCUAGGAGCUGUUAGAAGUACAGACUCUCAGAUCCCACCCCAGAUUCCUGAGUUGGAAUCUGUAAUUUGAUAAGAUUCUCAGGUACAUUAAAGUUCGAAAAGUGGCAUGUUAGUGAACUGAGAUUUCUAUGUCAAGGGAUGUACUUGGUGUUGAAGAGCUGAGUUCAGAGUUCAGAGAGCAGGUGUUCAAAAGCAAGUUCAAGUCAUACAAAAGAGCCAAGAAUAACCCAAGAGCUUCCACAUAUCUCUGUAAACAGGGUUAGAGGUUGUCAGGGUCACAGGCAGGACAGAUACCUUGCACAUUUUUUUCUUAAGAAAUCUCGAUUAUCAAUCUCAAAUUUUCUUUAAAGU